Talpa occidentalis (Iberian mole) is the source of this 109-nucleotide small nuclear RNA. The record is from RefSeq and is a predicted model, not a curated record. Lineage: Eukaryota; Metazoa; Chordata; Mammalia; Eulipotyphla; Talpidae.
GCUUGCUUUGGUAGCACAAACACACAAACACUCUAGAGCGAUGUAGAGAAGAUCAUCAUGGCACCUGGGUAAGGUGGACAUGCAAAUUCAUGAAGCGUUCCGCCUAUUU